This 73-nucleotide transfer RNA is filed under the name Diaphorina citri (Asian citrus psyllid). It matches the Rfam family "tRNA". Rfam says of the family: Transfer RNA (tRNA) molecules are approximately 80 nucleotides in length. Lineage: Eukaryota; Metazoa; Arthropoda; Insecta; Hemiptera; Psyllidae. The record is from Rfam by way of RNAcentral.
GCCUAGUAAGCUUGGUUGAUAGAGCGUCUGCCAUGUAAGCAUAAGGCCGCGGGUUCAAUUUCCGCCCUGGGCG